RNAcentral lists this ribosomal RNA (403 nucleotides) under uncultured bacterium. RNAcentral's name for it is "bacterial SSU rRNA". It matches the Rfam family "Bacterial small subunit ribosomal RNA", at positions 357 to 776 of the family's 1533-position model. The record is from RNAcentral.
GGGGAUAUUGCACAAUGGGGGGAACCCUGAUGCAGCGACGCCGCGUGGGUGAAGGAGCGUUUCGGCGCGUAAAGCCCUAUCGGCAGGGAAGAAGGAGGACGGUACCCGACCAAGAAGCCCCGGCUAACUACGGGCCAGCAGCCGCGGUAAUACGUAGGGGGCGAGCGUUAUCCGGAAUUACUGGGUGUAAAGGGAGCGUAGACGGCGAGGUAAGCCUGAAGUGGAAGCCCGCGGCCCAACCGCGGAACUGCUUUGGGAACUGUUUUGCUGGAGUAUGGGAGGGGUAAGCGGAAUUCCUGGUGUAGCGGUGAAAUGCGUAGAUAUCAGGAGGAACACCGGUGGCGAAGGCGGCUUACUGGACCAUAACUGACGUUGAGGCUCGAAAGCGUGGGGAGCGAACAGG